RNA transcript from Podarcis raffonei (Aeolian wall lizard), 929 nucleotides. It is a transcript of the gene named COPI coat complex subunit zeta 2, with no coding region annotated. The record is from RefSeq and is a predicted model, not a curated record. The transcript has 10 exons. NCBI's taxonomy places the organism in Eukaryota, Metazoa, Chordata, Lepidosauria, Squamata, Lacertidae.
AUUUGAGGAGAGAUCUUUAUAUGUAUUAUAUUUACUGGGAGCGGUCUGGGGAGGGAGGAUGCGGCAGCCCACCCAGUGCCUGAGCGGGGCGGAGCAGCCCAGCUCGGCCGAAGCUCAUCUCUGCCGUGGAGACAUCCGAGAUGCAAAAGGCAGAGGCCCGGCCACGUCAGCACGACCACUUCGGGGGCGCCGCAAGGGGACGAGGCGGGGAGCGCGCCGCCGGAGUGCCGGUCGGACCCAUGGAAAUCCCCGCGGGGCUGAUGCUGGAACCGUCCCUUUACACUGUCAAGGCAAUUUUCAUCUUGGACAGCUUUGGGCAGCGACUUUUGGCCAAGUAUUAUGACGACACCUUUCCAUCUAUGAAGGAACAGAAGAGUUUCGAAAGGAAUGUCUUCAACAAGACCCACAAGACUGACAGUGAGAUUGCUUUUUUGGAAGGUCUGACCAUUGUCUAUAAAAGCAGCAUUGAUCUUUUCUUUUAUGUAGUGGGAAGUCCCCAUGAGAAUGAGCUGAUGUUGAUGUCCGUUCUCACCUGUCUCUUUGAAUCUCUCAACCAUAUGCUGCGAAAGAACGUGGAGAAGCGAACCCUGGUGGAAAACAUGGAUGGGGUGUUCCUUGUGGUGGAUGAGAUUGUUGAUGGCGGUGUGAUUUUGGAAAGUGAUGCCCAGCAAGUCAUCCAGAAGCUGAAUUUUAGGACGAUCCCGGAGCCUGCAGCUUAUGGCUUUGUUCUCUUUGAUUACAUCACGGGUAACUCCGAAUACAAUGAAAUUUUGCCCGAGAGGCUCUACAAAUAGCGAACUGUUCUCACAAACAGGAUGCAGGAGUGGAUGACAGCUCUUUAUCUGAACACAGUGUCACUCAGGUUCUGCAGUCUGCCAAAGAACAAAUUAAGUGGUCCUUAUUAAAAUAAAGUCACCCACAGCAAAAGA